GAUGAACGCUGGCGGCGUGCCUAAUACAUGCAAGUCGAGCGAACGGACGAGAAGCUUGCUUCUCUGAUGUUAGCGGCGGACGGGUGAGUAACACGUGGAUAACCUACCUAUAAGACUGGGAUAACUUCGGGAAACCGGAGCUAAUACCGGAUAAUAUUUUGAACCGCAUGGUUCAAAAGUGAAAGACGGUCUUGCUGUCACUUAUAGAUGGAUCCGCGCUGCAUUAGCUAGUUGGUAAGGUAACGGCUUACCAAGGCAACGAUGCAUAGCCGACCUGAGAGGGUGAUCGGCCACACUGGAACUGAGACACGGUCCAGACUCCUACGGGAGGCAGCAGUAGGGAAUCUUCCGCAAUGGGCGAAAGCCUGACGGAGCAACGCCGCGUGAGUGAUGAAGGUCUUCGGAUCGUAAAACUCUGUUAUUAGGGAAGAACAUAUGUGUAAGUAACUGUGCACAUCUUGACGGUACCUAAUCAGAAAGCCACGGCUAACUACGUGCCAGCAGCCGCGGUAAUACGUAGGUGGCAAGCGUUAUCCGGAAUUAUUGGGCGUAAAGCGCGCGUGGCGGUUUUUUAAGUCUGAUGUGAAAGCCCACGGCUCAACCGUGGAGGGUCAUUGGAAACUGGAAAACUUGAGUGCAGAAGAGGAAAGUGGAAUUCCAUGUGUAGCGGUGAAAUGCGCAGAGAUAUGGAGGAACACCAGUGGCGAAGGCGACUUUCUGGUCUGUAACUGACGCUGAUGUGCGAAAGCGUGGGGAUCAAACAGGAUUAGAUACCCUGGUAGUCCACGCCGUAAACGAUGAGUGCUAAGUGUUAGGGGGUUUCCGCCCCUUAGUGCUGCAGCUAACGCAUUAAGCACUCCGCCUGGGGAGUACGACCGCAAGGUUGAAACUCAAAGGAAUUGACGGGGACCCGCACAAGCGGUGGAGCAUGUGGUUUAAUUCGAAGCAACGCGAAGAACCUUACCAAAUCUUGACAUCCUUUGACAACUCUAGAGAUAGAGCCUUCCCCUUCGGGGGACAAAGUGACAGGUGGUGCAUGGUUGUCGUCAGCUCGUGUCGUGAGAUGUUGGGUUAAGUCCCGCAACGAGCGCAACCCUUAAGCUUAGUUGCCAUCAUUAAGUUGGGCACUCUAAGUUGACUGCCGGUGACAAACCGGAGGAAGGUGGGGAUGACGUCAAAUCAUCAUGCCCCUUAUGAUUUGGGCUACACACGUGCUACAAUGGACAAUACAAAGGGCAGCGAAACCGCGAGGUCAAGCAAAUCCCAUAAAGUUGUUCUCAGUUCGGAUUGUAGUCUGCAACUCGACUACAUGAAGCUGGAAUCGCUAGUAAUCGUAGAUCAGCAUGCUACGGUGAAUACGUUCCCGGGUCU
This 1371-nucleotide ribosomal RNA is filed under the name uncultured bacterium. Its description in RNAcentral is "bacterial SSU rRNA". It matches the Rfam family "Bacterial small subunit ribosomal RNA", at positions 28 to 1381 of the family's 1533-position model. The record is from RNAcentral.